Molecule: ribosomal RNA, 662 nt
Filed under: uncultured bacterium
Lineage: Bacteria
Description: bacterial SSU rRNA
Rfam family: Bacterial small subunit ribosomal RNA
Source: RNAcentral
UUAACACAUUUAAACAUUCCNCCCUGGGGAGUUACGGUUGCAAGAUUAAAACUUCAAAGGAAUAGAACGGGGACCCGCNCCAAGUGGUGGAGCAUGUGGUUUAAUUCGAAGAUACGNGAAGAACCUUACCUAGCCUUGACAUUGAUAGAAUNUAAUAGAAAUAUUGGAGUGCCAGUUUUACUGGAGCUUGAAAACAGGUGCUGCACGGCUGUCGUCAGCUCGUGUCGUGAGAUGUUGGGUUAAGUCCCGCAACGAGCGCAACCCUCGUCCUUAGUUACUAACGGUUCGGCCGAGGACUCUAAGGAGACUGCCUUCGUAAGGAGGAGGAAGGUGAGGACGACGUCAAGUCAUCAUGGCCCUUACGGCUAGGGCGACACACGUGCUACAAUGGAUAGGACAAUGAGACGCAAUACCGCGAGGUGGAGCAAAUCUAUAAACCUAUUCUCAGUUCGGAUUGUAGUCUGCAACUCGACUACAUGAAGCUGGAAUCACUAGUAAUCGUAGAUCAGCCAUGCUACGGUGAAUACGUUCCCGGGUCUUGUACUCACCGCCCGUCACACCAUGGGAGUUGAUUUCACCCGAAGCGGGGAAGCUAAACUGGCUACCCUCCACGGUGGAAUCAGCGACUGGGGUGAAGUGGUAACAAGGUAACCAAGGGCGAA